UACGUAGGGAGCGAGUGCUGUCCGGAUUUAUUGAUCGUAGAGAGCUCGUAGGCGCUUCUUCAAGUCGGCCGUGAGAGUUCAGGGCUCAACCCUGAAAUGGCGAUCGAUACUGUUGUGACUAGUAUAGGGUAGAGGUGAGUGUAAUUCCGAGUGUGGCGGGGGAGUGCGUACAUAUUCGGAGGAACACCGAUUGUGAGGGGAGCUCACUGGCUUGCUAUCGACGCUGAGGAGCGAACGCUAGGGGAGCAAACAGGAUUAGAUACCCUGGUAGACCUAGCUGUAAACGAUGGAUACUAGACGUAGGAACUGGAUUGACGGUUUCCGAGUCGUAGCUAACGCGUUAAGUAUCCCGCCUGGGGAGUACGGUCGCAAGACUAAAACUCAAAGGAAUUGUCGGGCCACCGCACAAGCGGCGGAGCAUGCGGCUUAAUUCGAUGAUACCCGUAGAACCUUACCUGGACUUGACAUAUAGGGUCUAGCUAUAGAGAUAUAGUGUGCAUUAGCGCCCUAUACAGGUGGUGCAUGGCUGUCGUCAGCUCGUGUCCUGAGAUGUUGGGCUCAGUCCCGCAACGAGCGCAACCCCUCUCCUAUGCUGCCAGCAUUUAGCUGGGGACUCAUAGGAGACUCCCGGUGAUAAACCGGAGGAAGGUGGGGACGACGUCAAGUCCUCAUGCCCCUUACGUCCAGGGCUGCCCGCAUGCUACAACGGCAAGUACAACGAGUCGCAAUACCGCGAGGUGGAGCAAAUCUCUUAAAGCCAGUUUCAGUUCGGAUAGGAGUCUGCAACUCGACUCCUUGAAGUUGGAGUCGCUAGUAAUCGCAAAUCAGCAAAGCUGCGGUGAAUACGUUCUCGGGGUU
Molecule: ribosomal RNA, 858 nt
Filed under: uncultured bacterium
Lineage: Bacteria
Description: SSU rRNA
Rfam family: Bacterial small subunit ribosomal RNA
Source: RNAcentral